GGACCCAUGACAGUUGCCCAGCCGCCGUUACCCAGCCAUCUUCGACCACAACAACCCGUUUGACUGGAGUUAGCCUUUCUUCUCCAGCGACUGGUUUUUUCCUUCUCCCUACGCACAACGAAAGUGCGGCAACAACACCUCUGGCACUCUACAGAUUCAAUAGAAGGAAGUACAUCUUGGGAUGUGGUGAGUGCUAAUGAUUUAUGGGAGGGAGAGAACAUUGAUUUGAAUGAAGAUGAGUAUGUUCUCGUGAGUCAGGAGGAAGAUUAUAAUGGAACAGAAGCACGUGUUGUUGUCAGCUUUGAGUGUUGGAGUUGGGGUAGGAGUUGGGUUGUUGAGUUCAGGGCAGUCAGUGAGUAAAUGGGUUAAAGGAACGAAUGGCUCCCCGGAUUUGAUUUCUGCGGACCAAAUUGAGUAUGAGCUGAUGAGGUUGUUUGAUAGCAGAGAAAACAAGGUUUCGUUUGAGAACUUUCCAUACUAUUUAAGGUAAUUCAAGAUUAAGAUUUUUUGGGUUAAUCUUGUUUUGUUUUUCUAUGUUUUCUUUCCCGGAAAAUGGGAGCUUGUAGCUUGGUAUAUUGUGCUAUUAAUAUGGAUAAUGCCAUCAGAGUUCAUGUUAGAGAUGAUCUCUUUUUCUAGUGUUUUGCUCACUUCUCAUGGAUUUGUUAUAACUAGUCCUUUGUAAAAGGCCUACUCUAUAUUUGUUUUAGCUUCUUUUCAAUUAA
Long non-coding RNA from Humulus lupulus (European hop), 722 nucleotides. RefSeq lists it as uncharacterized. The transcript is spliced from 2 exons. The record is from RefSeq and is a predicted model, not a curated record. Lineage: Eukaryota; Viridiplantae; Streptophyta; Magnoliopsida; Rosales; Cannabaceae.